AGCGAACGCUGGCGGCAGGCCUAACACAUGCAAGUCGAACGAACUCUUCGGAGGUAGUGGCGGACGGGUGAGUAACACGUGGGAACGUGCCUUUAGGUUCGGCAUAACUCAGGGAAACGUGUGCUAAUACCGAAUGUGCCCUUCGGGGGAAAGAUUUAUCGCCUUUGGAGCGGCCCGCGUCUGAUUAGCUCGUUGGUGAGGUAAAGGGUCACCAAGGCGACGAUUAGUAGGUGGUUUGUGAGGCUGGUCACCCACAUUGGGACUGAGACACGGCCCGAACUCCUACGCGAGGCGGCAGUGGCUGAUCUUGCGAAAUGGCCUGAAGCCUGACGGAGCCCUGCCGCGUGAAUGAUGAAGGUAUGAGGAUUGUAAAAUUCUUUUACCGGGGCCCAUCAUGACGGUACCUGGAGAAGAAGCCCCGGCUAACUUCGUG
RNAcentral lists this ribosomal RNA (433 nucleotides) under uncultured bacterium. Its description in RNAcentral is "partial 16S ribosomal RNA". It matches the Rfam family "Bacterial small subunit ribosomal RNA", at positions 29 to 507 of the family's 1533-position model. The record is from RNAcentral.